RNAcentral lists this ribosomal RNA (253 nucleotides) under uncultured bacterium. Its description in RNAcentral is "partial 16S ribosomal RNA". It matches the Rfam family "Bacterial small subunit ribosomal RNA", at positions 524 to 776 of the family's 1533-position model. The record is from RNAcentral.
UACGUAGGGUGCGAGCGUUGUCCGGAAUUACUGGGCGUAAAGAGCUCGUAGGUGGUUUGUCGCGUUGUUCGUGAAAUCUCACGGCUUAACUGUGAGCGUGCGGGCGAUACGGGCAGACUUGAGUACUGCAGGGGAGACUGGAAUUCCUGGUGUAGCGGUGGAAUGCGCAGAUAUCAGGAGGAACACCGGUGGCGAAGGCGGGUCUCUGGGCAGUAACUGACGCUGAGGAGCGAAAGCGUGGGGAGCGAACGGG